This 160-nucleotide unclassified non-coding RNA is filed under the name uncultured Geomyces. Its description in RNAcentral is "sequence contains ITS1". The record is from RNAcentral. Lineage: Eukaryota; Fungi; Ascomycota; Leotiomycetes; Myxotrichaceae.
CAGAGAAUCUUCUCUUAAAACCCUGUGAACUUACCUUUGUUGCCUCGGGGGGCCGCCCGGGAGUGUCGCGUUCUGCGCGCUCGCCCGGGAGCCACGGCGUCCCGGUGGCCCAAAAAACUCUUGUUUUGUAUGGCCUAUCAGAAAUACUAUCUAAUAGUUA